CGCCCUCCUCGAGGCGCCCAUCAGCCUCCUGGGAGCUGCGGUCCCCGGAGGCGGGCAGGCCACAGCCUCCUCACCAGGGGCCUCGUGGCUGCCCCUGAGUACCUCUCAGCCUGGGGUUCUCCAAGCUCAAAGAGGUAUCUGAACCUUGAGCCAAAAUACACCAAAGAAGAGAUUCUCCUCACAUCCUCUACCUCCUCGAAGUUACAGGUCUCUGGUGGGCCAGAGAAGCUGCUCGUCUGUUACCCUUUCCUGUGGAGAGAAGACCUCCUGGCCCAUAUCCUUCCAUAAACUCAGAUCCCAGAUCUCUGGCCUGUGAGUAAAAAAAGAGAAGAGUGUGUCACAUUUAGGAUUUAAAGGAUGUGAAGCCCCAAAGGAGCAGAUAGUAGAAUUUCAGGCAUUAUCCAGCAGGUGGUAAGGAAUUUGGGGGAAUGCAAGCUGACUUGGUCCUAUUUGCUAAAUUAGCCUUGCACUCAGGAUGCUUCUGGGCCCCCAUAUCUCUCCAGUGCAUGCAAGCUGCUUCUCAGAGCUGAUGAGCGUGACCCUGUUUCAGUUCUGUCCACCACGACAGCCCCUGGCCCCACUGAGCACUUGAAGUCUGGUUGGUCUGAAUGGGGAUGCGCUGCCAGUGUAAAUUAAAGCGCAGCAUAACCAACAAGACUUACUGCAUAGCACAGGGAACUCUACUCAAUAUCUUGUAAUAACCCAUAAUGGAAAAAAAUCUUGGAUAUAUAUGUAUAUGUAUAUGUAUAUGUAUAACUGAAUCACUUUGUUGUACACCUUAAAUUAACACAGCAUUGUAAAUCAAUUAUAUUUCAAUAAAAAUUAAACACACACUCACACAGCAGAUUUCAAAGGCAGCACGCAAAAAGAAAGUAUCUCAUUAAUAUUAUUGUAUUGAUUAUAUAUUGACAUGACAAGUUUUUAAUCUGUUGGGUUAAAUAAAUUGUUAAAGUUAUUUUCCUCUGUUUCUUUUUACUUUCUUCUGAUGUGGCUAGUAGAGCAUUUAAUUUACAUAUUCAGCUUGUAUUCAGGGGUCACAUUAUAUUUCUAUUGGACAGUACUGUUCUAAGUGAAUCCUUCCCUUUUGAAGUUACUUUUGAGGACUUGCUUAUUAAUUUCCUUCUUUCAUUAGCCACAUGCAUGGAGGCCACUCAGAGCUCCAGGGAAAUUUCCUUUCUGCUAGAUCAUUUCAGUUCAAUCACUCAGUCAUGUCCGACUCUUUGCGACCCCAUGAAUCUGCUAGACAGGCACUGAAAGAUCAGAAGUGGGCCGGGAGCCCAGCUUGACUUGUUUCCAAAUAAUGGCUUCUGGUGACAUCGUGUGGUCAUUUCUUAGUACUACACCAACCACAGGCUGUGCGCAGUCCCCAUUUCCCAGUUCUGGUGUUACCCAUUGCUCGCUGUAGUUACCGCACUGGCUGGGCUAAUAGAUCAGAAAUCCUACACUUGCAGAAGAAUGUUUUUCCCCCACAUGUGUCCUGUUAUCCUCUCAGCCUCCUUUCAGCUCUGCUACAUCUGCAGUAUUGGGUUGACCGCACUAACCUACUGCGAGGUUUUCUUUACUCAAGAGAACAACUCUAGAAACCUCUCUCUAGAAAACAGAUAUUCUAGCCUGGAAACCUUGCAAAAAGUUGAGUGGUCUUAGGGAAGUCUUUCUACUUCUCUGUGCCCCUUUUUCCUCAUGUGCAAAAAAGGUCAUAUAGCAGAUGACCUCUAACCUCAGCUCUGGCUCCCCAAAUCCUCUUUGGUGGAGUGGACUCAACCCCUCACAGGUGGUCACCUAUAAGAAAGGGCUUAAUGUGAAGUUCAUGGAGGUGACUUAACACAGAGCAGAGGUAACUGACCAUGAUUUCUGAGGGGGCGAUAAUAGGAACACAAUUUCAUCGGUGAAGACUAAGUACUUUACAUAUGCUAUCUCAUUUAAUGCUCACAACCAUCCCACAAAUUAGGUAUGAAUAUAAAAAGGUAAAGAAUCUGCCCACAAUGAGGGAGACCUGAGUUCAAUCCCUGGGUUGGGAAGAUCCUCUGGAGAAGGGCAUGGCAACCCAGUCCAGUAUUCUUGCUUGGAGAAUCCCAUGGACAGAGAAGCCUGGUGGGCUACAGUCCAUAGGGUCACAAAGAGUUGGACGUGACUGAGUUGGGCACACAAAUAGCAAACAGAAUUUUAAUAUACACAAAGUUAAAAAUCCAUCUAGGAGAUCAGGGGACCCUAUAGAAGAAAGCAGACUGUCCCAAGAGAAUCUAACUGUAUUGCAAAUGAAUGAGACAUUUGCAUUCGAAAGGGGUGGAGAAAGAUACUGAUCUAAGCAACUUUGGAAAUAAGUAAGAAUAGAGGCAUGGGAAAGUGCACAUAAGCACUGUGCUCUGUUAACAAAAUUGUUUCCCAUGUGGGCAUGCAGUACUUAUUCUGAUAUUAUUAAGCAUGUAGAUGGGAAUUGGACAAUCAAGUAAAUGGUUGACAGAUGAUGGGAAACCAAUUGCUUAUAGUUGGAGUGGGAAUUUACAAAUAGUCAAGGAGAGGAAGCUGGAAUGAUCCAUGUGGUAAUGGAUUAGAGUGGGAAACAUUAGUAUAAACCCAUGUGUAGCUUAUACAGAUGAUUACAUAUAGAAAUAUUUGUAUAUGUGUAUAUAUAUAUAUAUAUAUAUAUAUAUAUAUACACACACACACACACACGGGUUAAUAUAUACAUACAUAGUUCCUGUCCUAUAGGCUAAGAGGGCCUAGAAGCAAUGACACCCCAAUAACAAUAAGCAUCUUAGCACCCAGAUCUUGGUUUCUAAUACCAUUCUCCAAUAAGGAACCAAGAGUCCUUGGAGAAAUGGCCAAUUCUAGAACCAGAAAAGGAAAUACACAUGGUGAACCUGGAGCAUUUUGUGUUGCUAGAAUAUAAGAAAGUGCUCAAAACUUUAAAACCCUCCAUUGAUAGAGGCAUACAGGAGUCAACUGAAAGGAUUCCUAAUGAUAAAACUGGAACACCAAGCUACAAAAUAAAGUAGUAUUGUAACAUUUGACCCAAAGUUUAAAAUAAAUAUGUAUUCAUGGGCCCAUACUGAUAUCAAUGAUUGAAUAUAUAAAUGAAAGGGAGAAAAGAGGCAGAUUUCCCUUGAAGAAAAUAAUACAUUUCACCCCCAAGG
Bubalus bubalis (water buffalo) is the source of this 3134-nucleotide long non-coding RNA. RefSeq lists it as uncharacterized. Lineage: Eukaryota; Metazoa; Chordata; Mammalia; Artiodactyla; Bovidae. The transcript has 3 exons. The record is from RefSeq and is a predicted model, not a curated record.